AAACCCUUUAACGAGGAUCUAUUGGAGGGCAAGUCUGGUGCCAGCAGCCGCGGUAAUUCCAGCUCCAAUAGCGUAUAUUAUUAUUGUUGCGGUUAAAAAGCUCGUAGUUGGAUCUCGGUUUCGGGCGAGCGGUGUACCUUGCGGUAUUUACUGUUUGCCCGGACGAUUUUGUUGGUUCGUUUAUGGUUCUCUUAACCGAGUGCCAUAAGUGGCCAGCACGUUUACUUUGAAAAAAUUGGAGUGCUCAAAGCAGGCGCUACAGCCUGAACAUUAGUGCAUGGAAUAAUGGAAUAGGAUCUCGGUUCUAUUUCGUUGGCUUUCGGAGUCGAGGUAAUGAUUAAUAGGGACAGACGGGGGCAUUCGUACUGCGACGUUAGAGGUGAAAUUCUUGGAUCGUCGCAAGACGAACUACUGCGAAAGCAUUUGCCAAGAAUGUUUUCAUUAAUCAAGAACGAAAGUUAGAGGUUCGAAGGCGAUCAGAUACCGCCCUAGUUCUAACCAUAAACGAUGUCGACCGGCGAUCCGUUAUCGUUAACUGAAUGACUUAACGGGCAGCCUCCGGGAAACCAGAGUGUUUGGAUUCCGGGGGAAGUAUGGUUGCAAAGCUGAAACUUAAAAGAAUUGACGGAAGGGCACCACCAGGAGUGGAGCCUGCGGCUUAAUUUGACCCAACACGGGAAAUCUCACCAGGCCCGGACACCGGAAGGAUUGACAGAUUGACAGCUCUUUCUUGAUUCGGUGGGUGGUGGUGCAUGGCCGUUCUUAGUUGGUGGAGCGAUUUGUCUGGUUAAUUCCGAUAACGAACGAGACUCUGGCCUACUAACUAGACGUUAGAUCCCUUUGUGGGUCUAUCGCAGCUUCUUAGAGGGACGGGCGGCGUUUAGCCGCACGAGAUUGAGCAAUAACAGGUCUGUGAUGCCCCUAGAUGUUCUGGGCUGCACGCGCGCUACACUGAAGGAAUCAGCGUGUGUUCCCUACCCGAAAGGGUUGGGAAACCCGUUGAACCUCCUUCGUGAUGGGGAUUGGGGAUUGCAAUUAUUCCCCAUGAACGAGGAAUUCCCAGUAGGCGCGAGUCAUAAGCUUGCGUCGAUUACGUCCCUGCCCUUUGUACACACCGCCCGUCGCUACUACCGAUCGAGUGAUUUAGUGAGGCCUUCGGACUGGUCUUCAGUAUGGCUUUCGGGUCGUGUUGGAGUACCGGAAAGAUGACCAAACUUGAUCACUUAGAGGAAGCAAAAGUC
RNAcentral lists this ribosomal RNA (1241 nucleotides) under metagenome. RNAcentral describes it as "SSU rRNA". It matches the Rfam family "Eukaryotic small subunit ribosomal RNA", at positions 527 to 1790 of the family's 1831-position model. The record is from RNAcentral.